GGAGAGGUGCGAGAGUGGCUGAAUCGGCUCGCCUGGAAAGCGGGUGUGCAGCAAUGUACCGUGGGUUCGAAUCCCACCCUCUCCGCCA
This 88-nucleotide transfer RNA is filed under the name bacterium. Its description in RNAcentral is "tRNA-Ser". It matches the Rfam family "tRNA". Rfam says of the family: Transfer RNA (tRNA) molecules are approximately 80 nucleotides in length. Their secondary structure includes four short double-helical elements and three loops (D, anti-codon, and T loops). The record is from RNAcentral.